UACAGAGGUGGCAAGCGUUGUUCGGAAUUACUGGGCGUAAAGCGCGUGUAGGCGGCUCUUCAAGUCAGGCGUGAAAUCUCCGGGCUUAACUCGGAACGGUCAAGUGAUACUGUCGGACUAGAGUACAGAAGGGGCAACUGGAAUUCUCGGUGUAGCGGUGAAAUGCGUAGAUAUGCGGAGGAACACCGAUGGCGAAGGCAAUCCCCUGGGCCUGCACUGACGCUCAGUGCACGAAAGCGUGGGGAGCAAACAGG
RNAcentral lists this ribosomal RNA (254 nucleotides) under uncultured bacterium. RNAcentral describes it as "partial 16S ribosomal RNA". It matches the Rfam family "Bacterial small subunit ribosomal RNA", at positions 524 to 776 of the family's 1533-position model. The record is from RNAcentral.